Molecule: ribosomal RNA, 157 nt
Filed under: uncultured Glomeromycotina
Lineage: Eukaryota; Fungi; Glomeromycota
Description: 5.8S ribosomal RNA
Rfam family: 5.8S ribosomal RNA
About the family: 5.8S ribosomal RNA (5.8S rRNA) is a component of the large subunit of the eukaryotic ribosome. It is transcribed by RNA polymerase I as part of the 45S precursor that also contains 18S and 28S rRNA.
Source: RNAcentral
CNCUUUCAACAACGGAUCUCUUGGCUCUCGCAUCGAUGAAGAACGCAGCGAAAUGCGAUAAGUAGUGUGAAUUGCAGAAGUAAUGUGAAUCAUCGAAUCUUUGAACGCAAAUUGCACUCUNUGGUAUUCCGGGGAGUAUGCCUGUUUGAGGGUCGCU